RNAcentral lists this unclassified non-coding RNA (512 nucleotides) under uncultured Glomus. Its description in RNAcentral is "SSU rRNA". It matches the Rfam family "Eukaryotic small subunit ribosomal RNA", at positions 569 to 1080 of the family's 1831-position model. The record is from RNAcentral. Lineage: Eukaryota; Fungi; Glomeromycota; Glomeromycetes; Glomerales; Glomeraceae.
AGCAGCCGCGGUAAUUCCAGCUCCAAUAGCGUAUAUUAAAGUUGUUGCAGUUAAAAAGCUCGUAGUUGAAUUUCGGGGUUAGCAGGUCGGUCGUGCCAUCGGUAUGAACUGGUCUCGCUGAUCCCUCCCUCUUGACGAACUGUGAUGCCAUUAAUUUGGUGUCGCAGGGAAUCAGGACUGUUACUUUGAAAAAAUUAGAGUGUUUAAAGCAGGCUCACGCUUGAAUACAUUAGCAUGGAAUAAUGAAAUAGGACGUUUGAUCCUAUUUUGUUGGCUUCUAGGAUUGACGUAAUGAUUAAUAGGGAUAGUUGGGGGCAUUAGUAUUCAAUUGUCAGAGGUGAAAUUCUUGGAUUUAUUGAAGACUAACUACUGCGAAAGCAUUUGCCAAGGAUGUUUUCAUUAAUCAAGAACGAAAGUUAGGGGAUCGAAGACGAUCAGAUACCGUCGUAGUCUUAACCAUAAACUAUGCCGACUAGGGAUCGGAUGAUGUUAAUUUUUUUCAAUGACUCAUU